UACGGAAGGUCCGGGCGUUAUCCGGAUUUAUUGGGUUUAAAGGGAGCGUAGGCCGUGGAUUAAGCGUGUUGUGAAAUGCAGGUGCUCAACGUCUGCACUGCAGCGCGAACUGGUCCACUUGAGUGUGCACAACGCAGGCGGAAUUCGUCGUGUAGCGGUGAAAUGCUUAGAUAUGACGAAGAACUCCGAUUGCGAAGGCAGCUUGCGGGAGCACAACUGACGCUGAAGCUCGAAAGUGCGGGUAUCGAACAGG
This 253-nucleotide ribosomal RNA is filed under the name uncultured bacterium. RNAcentral describes it as "partial 16S ribosomal RNA". It matches the Rfam family "Bacterial small subunit ribosomal RNA", at positions 524 to 776 of the family's 1533-position model. The record is from RNAcentral.